This 280-nucleotide ribosomal RNA is filed under the name uncultured bacterium. RNAcentral's name for it is "partial 16S ribosomal RNA". It matches the Rfam family "Bacterial small subunit ribosomal RNA", at positions 30 to 306 of the family's 1533-position model. The record is from RNAcentral.
AUUGAACGCUGGCGGCAGGCCUAACACAUGCAAGUCGAGCGGUAACAGGGGAAGCUUGCUUCUCGCUGACGAGCGGCGGACGGGUGAGUAAUGUAUGGGGAUCUGCCCGAUAGAGGGGGAUAACCACUGGAAACGGUGGCUAAUACCGCAUAAUCUCUUAGGAGCAAAGCAGGGGAACUUCGGUCCUUGCGCUAUCGGAUGAACCCAUAUGGGAUUAGCUAGUAGGUGGGGUAAUGGCUCACCUAGGCGACGAUCCCUAGCUGGUCUGAGAGGAUGAUCA